RNAcentral lists this transfer RNA (77 nucleotides) under Pseudomonadota bacterium. RNAcentral's name for it is "Proteobacteria bacterium tRNA-Val". It matches the Rfam family "tRNA". Rfam says of the family: Transfer RNA (tRNA) molecules are approximately 80 nucleotides in length. Their secondary structure includes four short double-helical elements and three loops (D, anti-codon, and T loops). The record is from RNAcentral. Lineage: Bacteria; Pseudomonadati; Pseudomonadota.
GGGGAUAUAGCUCAGUUGGUUAGAGCACCUGCCUUACAAGCAGGGGGUCAGAAGUUCGAGUCUUCUUAUCCCCACCA